Molecule: long non-coding RNA, 1441 nt
Organism: Dalotia coriaria
Lineage: Eukaryota; Metazoa; Arthropoda; Insecta; Coleoptera; Staphylinidae
Exons: 2
Source: RefSeq, a predicted model, not a curated record
GUUCAGUCGGUUCACUCUGUCACAUUGCCCCUUCUUAAACCAACCAGCUGUUUAUAAUACAAUUAUUUUUAUCAGUACAUUCUUGAAACUAGUGACGAUCACUAACGGCGACACUGGAGCUGUCUGAGACGCACAAUAAAUACGAGACUUAAAGGUGUGCAUCACUAACACAACUUGUUGAACCAAACUAAGUGAAUAAGUGAUAAAUAUAACAAUUAACCAAAGUCAUUUGGUGCAUGUAUAAUCUGAUGUACUAAAUUUCAACACAAAUCAACAGAUGUACGUUAAAUAUACUGAAACUAAAUUAAGCGAAUGGAAGACUUACAGUUGAAAUUGCCACUACGACAAAAAAUGAUAAAAAGUUGUAACAAUCUGCUAAAUCCAUAAAUGGAAAUAAGUGAAAUCUGUUAUUAUUUUAAAUUAUCAAAAUCUAUAAAAUGAAACAAUAUCAAAGGAAAAUAUGUAACAUUUUCUACCCCAAUGGGAGGGUCUUUCAGGUUUCAGGUGAAGGCUAUUCUUGUUAAGAAGAUGAUGUAACUAUCUGCUAAAUCCAAAAAUGGAAAUAAGUGAAUUCUGUGAUUAUUUCAAAAUUUUCAAAAUCUAUAAAAUGAAACAAUAGUAAAGGAAAAUUAAAUCAUUUCCUACCAUGAUGGGAGGGUCUUUUGAGGUUUCAGGUGAAGGCUAUUCUUGUCAAGAAGAUGAUGUAACAAUCACCUAAAUCCACAAAUGGAAAUAAGUGAAAUCUGUGAUUAUUUUAAAUGAUCAAAAUCUAUAAAAUGAAACGAUAUUAAAGGAAAAUAUAGAACGUUUUCUACCUCGAUGGGAGGGAAACGGUUAUUUCAGGUCUUUUAGGUUUCAGUUGUUUUAGCUGCCUCCUUAUUACUGAUGGCCUUGUUUAUUGACCUGACUACUGGAUGAACUAGCUUGCGAACUAACCUCCGGUCGCUAGAUCCACCAGCGAGCGUCGCAGGUUUCACAACUCUAAAGGAGCUGCCAAGCUCCUGCUAUUCGCCAGGAGGUCCUCUCGCACCGAGGUGCCACAAUCAGAGACACUCCUCUCGCCGAGUUCAAGUGCUGUAGAACCUCCUGGAUCAUACGUCUCGACUAUUUUUGACCGACUAGUGGCGAACAAAUUUAUCUCAUUUCUUGAAUAUCAAGUGUGUCGCGUUGUCAGUCCGUGAGAGGCAUCCCCGUGAUAACCUAUCCGCAGUUGACUUAGAUUCAGGAUCUCGAUCUCUUUGACUACCUCCUCCAGAAUCCUGGAACGAUUGCGCCCCUGCUUCCUGCUGUGUACAGGCCACUGCCUCUGCUCGGCCGACCAUUGAUCCGCUCUCAUCUCGUCGUUCGUUGUCGUAAAGCAAUUAACCUCGCGGAUUAGAACUUUCGAUGUACUUGUGUAGUUGUGUAGGAUUAUCAAUAAGAUUCCUACUGAGCGAUUCAA